Molecule: ribosomal RNA, 765 nt
Filed under: uncultured Streptococcus sp.
Lineage: Bacteria; Bacillati; Bacillota; Bacilli; Lactobacillales; Streptococcaceae
Description: bacterial SSU rRNA
Rfam family: Bacterial small subunit ribosomal RNA
Source: RNAcentral
GAUGAACGCUGGCGGCGUGCCUAAUACAUGCAAGUAGAACGCUGAAGCUUGGUGCUUGCACCGAGUGGAAGAGUUGCGAACGGGUGAGUAACGCGUAGGUAACCUGCCUCUUAGCGGGGGAUAACUAUUGGAAACGAUAGCUAAUACCGCAUAAAAGUCGACAUUGCAUGAUGUUGACUUGAAAGGUGCAAAUGCAUCACUAAGAGAUGGACCUGCGUUGUAUUAGCUAGUUGGUGAGGUAACGGCUCACCAAGGCGACGAUACAUAGCCGACCUGAGAGGGUGAUCGGCCACACUGGGACUGAGACACGGCCCAGACUCCUACGGGAGGCAGCAGUAGGGAAUCUUCGGCAAUGGGGGCAACCCUGACCGAGCAACGCCGCGUGAGUGAAGAAGGUUUUCGGAUCGUAAAGCUCUGUUGUAAGUCAAGAACGAGUGUGAGAGUGGAAAGUUCACACUGUGACGGUAGCUUACCAGAAAGGGACGGCUAACUACGUGCCAGCAGCCGCGGUAAUACGUAGGUCCCGAGCGUUGUCCGGAUUUAUUGGGCGUAAAGCGAGCGCAGGCGGUUUGAUAAGUCUGAAGUUAAAGGCUGUGGCUCAACCAUAGUUCGCUUUGGAAACUGUCAAACUUGAGUGCAGAAGGGGAGAGUGGAAUUCCAUGUGUAGCGGUGAAAUGCGUAGAUAUAUGGAGGAACACCGGUGGCGAAAGCGGCUCUCUGGUCUGUAACUGACGCUGAGGCUCGAAAGCGUGGGGAGCGAACAGG